Molecule: ribosomal RNA, 350 nt
Filed under: uncultured bacterium
Lineage: Bacteria
Description: bacterial SSU rRNA
Rfam family: Bacterial small subunit ribosomal RNA
Source: RNAcentral
UAAGGAAUAUUGGUCAAUGGACGAAAGUCUGAACCAGCCAUGCCGCGUGCAGGAUGACUGCCCUAUGGGUUGUAAACUGCUUUUAUAUAGGAAGAAAAACUUUCUCGUGAGAAAGCUUGACGGUACUAUAAGAAUAAGGAUCGGCUAACUCCGUGCCAGCAGCCGCGGUAAUACGGAGGAUCCAAGCGUUAUCCGGAAUCAUUGGGUUUAAAGGGUCCGUAGGUGGACAAAUAAGUCAGAGGUGAAAUCCUGCAGCUCAACUGUAGAACUGCCUUUGAUACUGUUUGUCUUGAGUUAUUAUGAAGUGGUUAGAAUGUGUAGUGUAGCGGUGAAAUGCAUAGAUAUUACAC